GUAGCUCAGUGGAUAGAGCAUCUGUUUCCUAAGCAGAAGGUCGUAGGUUUGACCCCAACC
This is a non-coding RNA of Triticum urartu, 60 nucleotides long. The record is from Rfam. NCBI's taxonomy places the organism in Eukaryota, Viridiplantae, Streptophyta, Magnoliopsida, Poales, Poaceae.